UUUAUUUACGCGUCUACUUUUCUAAGUCUUAGCUAGAUAUCAUAGAGUGUUGAGAGAGAGAGCUUGGAAGAAGAGAACACAUAGAUUUUAGAAAAGGAAGAUCACAGUGGUUUUGAGAGAGAAUCACCAUUUCUUGCUAGCAUACAACUAGGGUUUGCUAAAUCAAGGUAUAUUCUACUUCUAAGGUUUAUGUUUGAGUUUUCAUGUUCAUUCUCAGUAAAUUGUUAAGUCAUGUUGUGUUGAAAUAUACAUGUAGAUAUGGUUUAUAAACUGAUAAUCAUCAUAUAUGGUUGAUACUUGUGUGUCAAAUUUGUUAAAAUUGGGUUGUAGGAAGCAAAAAU
RNAcentral lists this long non-coding RNA (341 nucleotides) under Panax ginseng (ginseng). RNAcentral describes it as "long non-coding RNA (PGIN_LNC016218)". Lineage: Eukaryota; Viridiplantae; Streptophyta; Magnoliopsida; Apiales; Araliaceae. The record is from RNAcentral.